CAGUCGGUAACCUGGCACAGUCCUGGACACUUAAUGGCUGUGGUCUGAGAGCUGCUGGUUUGGAGCAUCAAUACGCAGCAAAAUCACAGGACGUGGGGGUAGCUCACAUAGGAAGAGACCUCAGUUGGUAACUUCUAACCUCUCUGCACAGAGCAGCACUCACUUCAGUGUUGCUCCAGCCCUGAAAGCCUUGCAUUGGUGUACAAAGAGAUGUGCUUUGCUGCACCGAUGUCCCUGCUAGGGAACGAAGCCCACUGCAUUUGAAUGAAAGAGUAACUGCAUCAAAGUUUUGUCUGUGCGUGUUUCCUUUUGAUGCAAUAUAAUUCAGUCAUCAGAGCCUGACUCGCAAGCCUUGGAGCUGCAUCCUGUCAUCCUUUUAUGGGAUUUCAAUAUCAAAAUACACAGAAAAACUGAGACUUGUAUUCAUCAGUUAAAGUAUUUCACCACCUCAGGUUUGCAACUUUCAUGUCUAUUUUAAUGACUGUUUAAAAACGUGAACGAGUGCAGUAACAAGAGCACUGUUAAUUGAGCUAGAGCUGACUGGCGUUACAACGUUGUGAAGAGGUUAUAACUUGUAAUUUUGAAGAAAUGUUUUUCUUUAUGCUUAAAGAAUGGCAAUGCCUGCAGUUCUGCAAAGGUAGCAUUUAAACUGAGCCCUGGGUUGGUCUCAGAGUAAGUCUGCCUUUUCUCACUCCUGGUCUGAAAGCAGCAGAGCUCUAAUUCACUGCAGCAGCUUUUGCUGGUCUGCCAAGUGCCUUUGAGCAGAGCUGCUCCUACAGGCUGCUUGCUUCCAUGUGCUGUAGGCUACAGACAAUUCCCAUAGCAGAAGCACUGCAGCAAAGUAUGCUUUCCAUUUUCCUGUGGGAAUUUAUUUCUGUUUCUCUUUAUUGCCCUCUUGGCAGAGAAGGCUGGUGGAAACAUGUUGCAGAGAUGAAAUAUGGCUGCAUCUCAGUUUGUAUGCAGAGCUCCCAUCCGGUGCUCGGGGUGCUUCAGUGUCAGCUGAAAUCUCUCUGUAUCUUCUCAAUCGGUUUUCACUCUCCAUUUGUGAAGUUUGAGCUUCUGAACCGGUUCUCUGGUCUCUACUCUUCCCAUCUGCAUUUCCUGGAGAUUUUGGAACUGCUGGAACCGCAUUUAUUUUGGGGGAGAAGUGGCUGCAUUGGGCAAAACAGAGUGCAGCGCAGCAGGCAGCACAGGGAGCCUUUCAGAGCAUCUCUACUUGUGGUGCUUUGA
Molecule: long non-coding RNA, 1230 nt
Filed under: Chrysolophus pictus (golden pheasant)
Lineage: Eukaryota; Metazoa; Chordata; Aves; Galliformes; Phasianidae
Description: lncRNA (ENSCPIG00010010261.1)
Source: RNAcentral